GAGGAAUAUUGCGCAAUGGGGGCAACCCUGACGCAGCGACGCCGCGUGGAUGAUGAAGGCCCUUGGGUCGUAAAAUCCUGUCAGAUGGAAAGAAACGUAUAGGUGCUAAUAUCGCCUGUAUUUGACGGUACCAUCAAAGGAAGCACCGGCUAACUCCGUGCCAGCAGCCGCGGUAAUACGGAGGGUGCAAGCGUUGUUCGGAAUUACUGGGCGUAAAGCGCGCGUAGGCGGUUUGCUCAGUCAGAUGUGAAAGCCCUCGGCUUAACCGGGGACGUGCAUUUGAUACUGGCAGACUUGAGUACUGGAGGGGGUGGUGGAAUUCCCGGUGUAGAGGUGAAAUUCGUAGAUAUCGGGAGGAAUACCGGUGGCGAAGGCGACCACCUGGCCAGAUACUGACGCUGAGGUGCGAAAGCGUGGGGAGCAAAC
Molecule: ribosomal RNA, 426 nt
Filed under: uncultured bacterium
Lineage: Bacteria
Description: bacterial SSU rRNA
Rfam family: Bacterial small subunit ribosomal RNA
Source: RNAcentral